Xiphophorus hellerii (green swordtail) is the source of this 462-nucleotide long non-coding RNA. RefSeq lists it as uncharacterized. Lineage: Eukaryota; Metazoa; Chordata; Actinopteri; Cyprinodontiformes; Poeciliidae. The transcript has 3 exons. The record is from RefSeq and is a predicted model, not a curated record.
GUGGGUAAUUGGUUGCAUUUAUGUGUGGCCUAUGUGGAUCUGGUGGCUUCUCUUGGUGCAGAAAUGAACGACAAGGAGCUCAAUCUGGCAUCAGUUGUUUUCUUUAAUUCUCCAUCUGCAUUUCACACAUGGGCACCGAGGUAAAGUCAGUCUCUGGCAUGAAAGAAGCUCCUCGACAGUGAUCCUCAUGGUUCUGAGGAUUACCCAUAAUACAGUAACCAAAAUAAAAUAAUUGAAAAUUACAGUGAUCGAAUAGUGGAUUUCUUUUACAUCAAAGCAACAAUCAGUGAUUGUCCUUUUUAAAGAAAGUAAAGCAAUUAAUUAAAAUGCUCUGAAAAAUAAAAUAAAAUGCUGACAUUUUAUUUACUAGAUGCCAUUUUUAUAUUUCAGCUUGUACAAACUUGCAUCUUGGAACAAUGCAAAAACAUUAAUUAACCAUAUCUGUAUAUAAAACUGUUAAUA